AUUUCUUGUGGCUGCAGGUAAGCCUGUUCCUGCUGUGCACCUACUCUGUGGUUCCUGCCCUUGCACCUCACUUCCAACCAUCGUUUACCAGUCCUGGCUUCUGACUUGGGCCUCUGACUAUGGCUUGACCUUGACUCUGCCCCUCAGCUUUAAUUACUGACUCUAGUUUGACCCCUGGCUCUCAUAAUUGGCAGUUGACUCGAGGGCUGAUCCUUGGCUUUGUUCCCCAACCUGGAUGCCUGCUCUGACCACUAGGCCAGCCUGCAUAUAUUAUGGGCUAUAAGUCUUCCCCUUGUUGAAAAGCAGGUUUAAAAACACCCAGCCCCCGCACUCCUUCACAGUCAAGAACCACGAGAGAGAGAGAGAGAAAUAUGUAGAGCUCAUUUAUUUACCGGGAGAAAGGGAGCGAGCAUUUCUGUUUGGAGUCCCUAAUGCAUUGCCGAGCUCGGAGAGAUGCUGGAGGAAUGGAUCAAUAGUUCGGUGGACAUGCAGCACGCAAGCGGGAAACGAAAGAGCUGCACUGGAAGGGGUCAGCGUUUGUGUUGCAAUGAUGGUUCCUCUUUGGAAAGCGAUUUCCUGCUUCAGCAUUUGCAGACCGUUUCGCUUCCCACCAGUGUGCUAUGAUUGCUGCCAAAAAUACAGCAAGAGAAGAAAAGAGAGCAGGUUUGGGACCUCGUGUGUUAUCAGCGAGGACUUUUUUUUUUUCCAGCCCAUACUGUUUGUAACUCUUUCCCCUCCCCCCCCCCAAUAUGCUCAUUAUAAGUAAUGCUAUCUCGCUCUAAAGGUCACCGAGUUCUGUCUGAUGAAUAGGCUUCUCUUCUGAUUCAUUAUGUUUGAUGCACAGCUUUUCCUGGAGUCAACUCAGCCAAACCUUUGGGUUAAUGGGAGCCACACCGUCUCCUUAAUCCAGGAGUUUUGAAUUCUUGUGUUUGUGUUGGACGUAGAGGCUGAGGCGCUGUGGAAAAGCCUGGUCUUUUAGGGUCAGAGAAGUUCCUUUUGAUCAUCAUCAGCAGUGAUGUGAACCAGAGGUCACACAUUUUCCACCAAUCCUCCAGAUCUACCAGACGGCCGCAACUGUGUCUGCUUGUUCCCCCCGCUGAAGUCAGGCAAUGCUUCCCGUUCCAUCUCCCACGGUCCGAGGGAACCUGAUGUUCCCCUUCUGCCACUGGCUUUCCAAGGACUCUGGACCAUGAGGGGCCGUGUCCUGUCAUCACAUUAAAUCAUCUGAAUACAAUCCCCCUUCCAGCCACACACACCCCCACCCUCCCACUGAAAGGCACCAUAUUCCCCACUCAUCUCAGCCAUUAGUAUCUUCCCAUCAGCAUGAUUUUUUCCCCCCUGUGGGUGAUUUCCUGAAGGCACUAAAAGAAGCAGAAAUAUUAGAAUCCUUUAGGAUUUAGAGCAAACCUCUUCCUUUCCUUUAAGGAUAGUGGGACAAGAUUCACAUAGAUACUGAAGCCAGGCAAUUCCAGUCCAUCAUCAUGCAUCCCACCACUACCUUUUCUUCCCCCCGUCCCCUCUUUUUCACAUACCUUUUUUUUCUAUAAUAUGCAUAUGUCUGACCCAUUUCUCUAACUAGUACCUAUGAAGGGAUAAAUAAGUGGCACAAUGGACAUGCGUUAUGAUGGAAUGAGAAUGUUGUGUCCUUCUAGAUUCCUCCUCAUUUUGGCAUUCAGCCUUGUUCGUCCUCAUCACAUGACAUGUACUAAAUAGCACGUAAUACACAAGAAUGCCACACCCCACAGUUUGAUGAUGACUGCCGCAAAAAUGCAAAUUCAGGGCAUAUCCCUUUCUGGUUUAAUAACCCAAAGCUCUAAUAGCUGGGAACCUGCUCUCUGUAUGGGCCUAAGUGCCAGUGAAAAUAUUCAUCUUGUGAUAAGGGCGUUUGUGAAUGUUGCUGUUAGAAACAAAUCUGCUCCGAUAGGGUCAGAAUGGGGCGGGCUGGCACGUGACACAAACGUGUGCAAUGGAGGGAGAAUGGAAAGGAACUUUUCCUCCUUUGUGGCCAUCCCUCAGGGCUGGGCCACUCUGAGCUACUACCUCCAUAGGUGUCUGACUUGGCAAAGGGGGGUCAAAAGGGUGUGGCUUUGCCCGUCCCUCUAAUUCCUAGAGAGGAAGAUGGUCCAGUGGUUAGAGCACUAGCCUGGACGAUGCGAGACCUUUGCUCAAUUUCUGAUCUGCCGCAAAGCUCGUGUGUCACCCUGGGCAAAACAUUUCGUUUCUGGGCCUCAGUUCCUCACUGCAGACUGGAGAUAGCAGCACUGCCCUGCCUCACAAGGGCAUGCCAAUUUACACCAACUGAGGAUCUGCCCCCUUAGAGAGAAUCUAGAGAACAUUACCUCCGGGAUGACAUUUGGAGGGCUCUUCAACAUCUACUAGUCAAGAAGGAUUGAGGACCUAAAAUUCAUACAGUCAGAGAGGAAGAUCCUUAGCCGGUGUAAACUUGGCAUAACUCCAUGAAUGGAUCUGGAGCCGAGGAUCUUUCCCAAAAUGUCUAUAGUGCUUACAUGGGGUCUAAUCCUCUUCCUAUUUACAAUGAUUCUGCCAUAACUCCACGGACUUCACAUGAGUUCGUUACUCCUGGUUUACACUGGUUCAAGUGAGAAGAGAAUUAGGCUCCAUGAUGUUUUGUUACAUUUCUGUGUUCUCACUAGCUUGCAGCCCGAAAGGUCUAAAUUGAGUCCUAGUAUCGAUCCACUGACAUCCUAGGAUUGUUUCCAUUUACACCCGGGUUGACUUUACCCUGAGAUUGUGUGUGUUUUAAGCGUUCAUCUGCUGCUUUUAGGGCGAGUGCACAGUGUGUGGCAGUGAAUCUCAGAGCCUGGGUCUACAGAGUCAGGAUUGCAGUACGGUGCUAAAAAUAGCUGUGUAGAGGUUGCUGCUUGGGCUCCAAAAGCCAACUCCCCUUCCUACUGUCCUGCCAUUUAUCUGCCCCCUGAAACCAUCACAACUGGCCACUGUAGAAAUGUUUAUGGCAUCAGACUGGAUGAUGAUUUCAAGUGGAAAAAAUCAGCAGGAGUAGAUCUCUUAAGAAACAAGAAUGUUAUGAUUAUGUGCAUGUUAGGAAAUUAAGAACGAAGGAAGAAAUAUGCACAAACUCUAUGAAAUAGAUGCAGAAAUGUUUCAGCAUCUAUGUUUCCAUGAAGCAUCAACACAUUCAGAAGGCCCUGAUCCAGCAAAAAUGUAUAUACAUGCUUAACGUUAAGCAUGGGAGUAAUGCCACUGAAGUCAGUAAGCCUACUCAUGUGCUUAAUGUUAAGGAUGUGGGCGUUUGCAGGAUCAGGGCUGAAGUUUGUACAAUAGACAGUCCUUGUACAAGCACAGCUUCUCAAGUAAUAGGAACUUUAACUGGCAUGAAAAUUAAUAUACAAAAGUUAUUAAAAUAAUUUAUCAUUGCAUCAAGUAAGAGGAUAAAAAUAGAGUUGACAGAAAUAUAGACAUUUCUGUUUGUCUAGUUUUGCUAUGAAAUUACUUCAUUUUUUAUCAAAACUGCAUGAAUUGUAUUUUUGCAAAAUGACUUUUGAGUGUGAUCCAACUGUGAAAUUCUGCAAAAUUCAGGGGAACCACCCUCAAAUGACCUGGUAAAAGUAACUGCUUCAUAGUUUUCUAAGUUAACUUUUGGGUGUGGAAAGAAGUUGUUUCGGAGAUGAAACUUGGGAGGGCCCAUGACCUGCUGUCAGAGCGUGUUUACUCCCACCUUCCAUUGCCAAAACAGCUUCCUUCCAUGCCCAAAAUGUAAUGAAUGAACAUACCAAAAUGUAAUGAAACAGAAAAGAGAAAUUAAAGCAAAGUCGGUCCACCUUACAGUUCCAAUGACGUCAAGCAAUCUGGUUAAGAACACGGUCACCCUGUUUGACUGAUUUCUAUAAUAAAGAAGAUGCAUGUGUUAAUAAGCAAAGUUUCUGUUACAGCUGAUAUUUGUUUGCUUAUUUGGUGGUGCUAAUAAGUAUCAGUGAAAGGAAUUGUUGUUGUUACUCCUGGGUCCAUUUCAAGUUGCACAGUGAGGGGUGAGGGUGUGUUAAGUCGGCCAUAUUUAUAGUUAUCCAAACUGGAAUUUAGCCAGGUCACUAGGGCGAACAUUGCUGUUCUUGGGGAAAGUGCCAUAGACUCUUUCAUGAUCAUAUGUGGUCAUGACCUCAGUUUACAUCUCAUCCAAAAGGCAUCACCUCCCAUAGCACAGUGACCUCAAUGCAAUAUGGUAACUGGUUAUUGAAAAGGGCCCAUCUACUGAAUCAUUUGGGGUUAGUUUAAACUGAUUCCUAAU
This is a long non-coding RNA of Mauremys mutica (yellowpond turtle), 4264 nucleotides long. RefSeq lists it as uncharacterized. The transcript is spliced from 3 exons. Lineage: Eukaryota; Metazoa; Chordata; Testudines; Geoemydidae. The record is from RefSeq and is a predicted model, not a curated record.